UUGUACUGUGAAACUGCGAAUGGCUCAUUAAAUCAGUUAUCGUUUAUUUGAUAGUACCUUACUACAUGGAUACCUGUGGUAAUUCUAGAGCUAAUACAUGCUAAAAACCCCGACUUCAGGAAGGGGUGUAUUUAUUAGAUAAAAAACCAACGCCCUUCGGGGCUCCUUGGUGAAUCAUAAUAACUUAACGAAUCGCAUGGCCUUGCGCCGGCGAUGGUUCAUUCAAAUUUCUGCCCUAUCAACUUUCGAUGGUAGGAUAGUGGCCUACCAUGGUGGCAACGGGUAACGGGGAAUUAGGGUUCGAUUCCGGAGAGGGAGCCUGAGAAACGGCUACCACAUCCAAGGAAGGCAGCAGGCGCGCAAAUUACCCAAUCCCGAUACGGGGAGGUAGUGACAAUAAAUACUGAUACGGGGCUCUUUUGGGUCUCGUAAUUGGAAUGAGAACAAUUUAAAUCCCUUAACGAGGAACAAUUGGAGGGCAAGUCUGGUGCCAGCAGCCGCGGUAAUUCCAGCUCCAAUAGCGUAUAUUAAAGUUGUUGCAGUUAAAAAGCUCGUAGUUGAACCUUGGGCCUGGCUGGCCGGUCCGCCUCACCGCGAGUACUGGUCCGGCUGGGCCUUUCCUUCUGGGGAACCUCAUGGCCUUCACUGGCUGUGGGGGGAACCAGGACUUUUACUGUGAAAAAAUUAGAGUGUUCAAAGCAGGCCUUUGCUCGAAUACAUUAGCAUGGAAUAAUAGAAUAGGACGUGUGGUUCUAUUUUGUUGGUUUCUAGGACCGCCGUAAUGAUUAAUAGGGAUAGUCGGGGGCGUCAGUAUUCAGCUGUCAGAGGUGAAAUUCUUGGAUUUGCUGAAGACUAACUACUGCGAAAGCAUUCGCCAAGGAUGUUUUCAUUAAUCAGGGAACGAAAGUUAGGGGAUCGAAGACGAUCAGAUACCGUCGUAGUCUUAACCAUAAACUAUGCCGACUAGGGAUCGGACGGGAUUCUAUAAUGACCCGUUCGGCACCUUACGAGAAAUCAAA
This 1019-nucleotide ribosomal RNA is filed under the name Penicillium viridicatum. RNAcentral's name for it is "SSU rRNA". It matches the Rfam family "Eukaryotic small subunit ribosomal RNA", at positions 74 to 1102 of the family's 1831-position model. RNAcentral also lists the same sequence under 1 other name. Lineage: Eukaryota; Fungi; Ascomycota; Eurotiomycetes; Eurotiales; Aspergillaceae. The record is from RNAcentral.